Molecule: transfer RNA, 75 nt
Filed under: Megalops atlanticus (tarpon)
Lineage: Eukaryota; Metazoa; Chordata; Actinopteri; Elopiformes; Megalopidae
Description: tRNA-OTHER
Source: RNAcentral
GGCAGUGUACCAUAGUGGUUAAGGAGCAGGACUCGUAACCUGGUUGCUGGUUCGAUCCCUGCUGGGACACUGCUG